GACGAACGCUGGCGGCGUGCUUAACACAUGCAAGUCGAACGGAAAGGCCUUGCUUUUGUGGGGUGCUCGAGUGGCGAACGGGUGUGUAACACGUGAGUAACCUGCCCUUAACUUUGGGAUAACUUCAGGAAACUGGGGCUAAUACCGGAUAGGAGCUCCUGCUGCAUGGUGGGGGUUGGAAAGUUUCGGCGGUUGGGGAUGGACUCGCGGCUUAUCAGCUUGUUGGUGGGGUAGUGGCUUACCAAGGCUUUGACGGGUAGCCGGCCUGAGAGGGUGACCGGCCACAUUGGGACUGAGAUACGGCCCAGACUCCUACGGGAGGCAGCAGUGGGGAAUAUUGCACAAUGGGCGGAAGCCUGAUGCAGCAACGCCGCGUGCGGGAUGACGGCCUUCGGGUUGUAAACCGCUUUCGCCUGUGACGAAGCGUGAGUGACGGUAAUGGGUAAAGAAGCACCGGCUAACUACGUG
This 468-nucleotide ribosomal RNA is filed under the name uncultured bacterium. RNAcentral's name for it is "partial 16S ribosomal RNA". It matches the Rfam family "Bacterial small subunit ribosomal RNA", at positions 28 to 507 of the family's 1533-position model. The record is from RNAcentral.